UCUAUUACAAAUUAAUUUCAACUCGUAUACUGAUAUCUUGCUCCUACAAAACCUUUACACAUUCAGCUUUCGUGGUAAUUUCAAAUGGAGCUCAUAGAACUCCAAGAACUAAAAUUUUUACUUCAUUUCCAACAAAAACAAAUCAAUUUCAUGUGCUCACAUUACUUCGAUAAUCAUUUGUAAGUGAGCAAUAUGGUUAUGAAUGAGAAAUACGUGUUUUCCACGAUACCUUUAUUUCAGAGCUGUAUUUUAGCAGAGCUACAAACAAAUGUGAGACAACGGCAUGCAGUUAUUUGGGAUUGGAGACAAUAGGGAGAGACGGUCGCUGGCUAGAAUUAACUGCAGGCAUCUGCCAUGUGUUUCUGCACUGCAGAGGAGAAUGUUGUGGCUUUGGUAGGCGCAGGGCUGGGCAGAAACCCUGUUUCUGAAUGGGGGAGCUUUGGGUUUGUUUCCUGUGGCCAACAGGAGGUGCAUUCCCUGAGGAUGUGUGUGCUGGUACAGCAGUUUCAAAAAGAAGUGAGGUGGUGUUUUUAUCCUGACAUCUGUGGUUCCCGUAAAAGUUGAGCAGGUAUUUAGUUAGGUUUAAUACUGCGGUGUUCUCGUUCCAGACCAACAUGGAACUGCAAUAGGAAUGGUUGGCUCUUCUUGCUGUAGGAGCAACAGUGCAUCAAAUUCAAUCAUUGCUGCAGGCGGAAUAGCAAAAGUGGUGCACGGGAAUGCAGGAGGUGAUGUGUUUGGAUGCGGACAGUGCCUUGUGGAAUCCUGCUGAGAACUGGAAGAAAUGCUUGAAAAAACUUGCAAGCGAGACGUCCUUCUGCAUGGCAUGGAAAGGGUUUUCUGCACUGUGAGCACAUUCCCCCUGUAGCAGGUACGGUUGUGGCACAGACCAGAGCCCUGCAUGGCGUUUGUCUUAGGACGAUUGAAGCAAUGAGACGAAGUACUCUGGCAAAUCCAAGGCCUGCCCACCUCCUUCAUCUCGCAGAAAAACACAGGAUUUAAUUUGAGGAGGCAGUGACGAGCAAAUUAUAGAAGGAUGUUGGGGAAGCUGCCUGUAUGGGUGAUGCACAAAGGUUGGACUGCAGGGAGAAUUAAAGCAAACGGGAUGAGAGAGGUCCAUAUGCAUGAACCACGUACAGUUAUUCUUACAAUUACAAGAAAGAUGGUGAUAAUUACCAUGGCAAUUUGCUUCUUUAUGGAUGAGAUUUCUUCAAAUAGAUGCAGAAAUAUCUCCUCUCUGUCUCUGUACUCUUAUGUUUAGCUUUUCUCUGAGAUAAUGGUUUCACAGCAAACAUUUUAAGGAAAUUGACGGUGCUUACAGGAAAGCCUCGAUUUUAGAAAUGUUAGCAUUUUUCACUAGUCAUGUAACUAUCUGUAAAUAAAAAUUUGGCCUCGAUAGUUCCCAUUUCGAAUUUAAUACCCGGGGAGGAUCUUGGUAACUAACACAACCGGGGGAAA
This is a long non-coding RNA of Numida meleagris (helmeted guineafowl), 1455 nucleotides long. RefSeq lists it as uncharacterized. Lineage: Eukaryota; Metazoa; Chordata; Aves; Galliformes; Numididae. The record is from RefSeq and is a predicted model, not a curated record. The transcript is spliced from 5 exons.